UACGGAGGAUGCGAGCGUUAUCCGGAUUUAUUGGGUUUAAAGGGUGCGUAGGCGGUUCGUUAAGUCAGCGGUAAAAUUGCGGGGCUCAACCCCGUCGAGCCGUUGAAACUCGCAGACUUGAGUUGGCGAGAAGUACGCGGAAUGCGCGGUGUAGCGGUGAAAUGCAUAGAUAUCGCGCAGAACUCCGAUUGCGAAGGCAGCGUACCGGCGCCAGACUGACGCUGAGGCACGAAAGCGUGGGGAUCGAACAGG
RNAcentral lists this ribosomal RNA (252 nucleotides) under uncultured bacterium. RNAcentral's name for it is "partial 16S ribosomal RNA". It matches the Rfam family "Bacterial small subunit ribosomal RNA", at positions 524 to 776 of the family's 1533-position model. The record is from RNAcentral.